AUUAGAGUUUGAUCCUGGGUCAGAUUGAACGCUAGCGGGAUGCUUUACACAUGCAAGUCGAACGGCAGCGCGAGAGAGCUUGCUCUCUUGGCGGCGAGUGGCGGACGGGUGAGUAAUAUAUCGGAACGUGCCCAGUAGCGGGGGAUAACUACUCGAAAGAGUGGCUAAUACCGCAUACGCCCUACGGGGGAAAGGGGGGGAUCGCAAGACCUCUCACUAUUGGAGCGGCCGAUAUCGGAUUAGCUAGUUGGUGGGGUAAAGGCUCACCAAGGCAACGAUCCGUAGCUGGUUUGAGAGGACGACCAGCCACACUGGGACUGAGACACGGCCCAGACUCCUACGGGAGGCAGCAGUGGGGAAUUUUGGACAAUGGGGGAAACCCUGAUCCAGCCAUCCCGCGUGUAUGAUGAAGGCCUUCGGGUUGUAAAGUACUUUUGGCAGAGAAGAAAAGGUACCUCCUAAUACGAGGUACUGCUGACGGUAUCUGCAGAAUAAGCACCGGCUAACUACGUGCCUGCAGCCGCGGUAAU
Molecule: ribosomal RNA, 530 nt
Filed under: Alcaligenes faecalis
Lineage: Bacteria; Pseudomonadati; Pseudomonadota; Betaproteobacteria; Burkholderiales; Alcaligenaceae
Description: bacterial SSU rRNA
Rfam family: Bacterial small subunit ribosomal RNA
Source: RNAcentral